This is a long non-coding RNA of Melanotaenia boesemani (Boeseman's rainbowfish), 632 nucleotides long. RefSeq lists it as uncharacterized. The record is from RefSeq and is a predicted model, not a curated record. The transcript is spliced from 3 exons. Lineage: Eukaryota; Metazoa; Chordata; Actinopteri; Atheriniformes; Melanotaeniidae.
UCCCUCCAUCAGACCUGUUUCCAGUUCUUCCAGCUCUUCUUUUCUCCCUGUUUCCCUUCCUUAAGAACGGCUUUUUGACUGGAGACCAUCUCUGAUGGCUGAUGCAACAGUAGAUGGAUCAGCUGAAGGUCCAGAUGCAUCUUUCAGGUCCUGGUUCAGGUCUUUCUUUGUUGGGAAAGUCCUGAAAGCGACCUUGGUGCUGAUUUAUUGACACAUUUGAAGAUUCUUUUCAGAAAGCAUCGAGCCACGAAGCUUCAGAAGCUUCAUUGUGCUGGAUGUCCUUCAGCAUGUUGAACACAAGGUGGCGCCAUCGUGCUGAUGGAGAACAACAUCCAGACUCUGCAGGAGCUCAGGUCCACCUGUUCACCUUCUGGUUAACACAAAUAUCCAAUCAGCCAAUCGCAUGGCAGCAUUUGUUCUGCUGGAGUGGACGCACUGAGGCUCAACCCGAGCGUCAGAAUGAGGAAGAAAGGGAUUUACGUGACUUUCAACGUGGUUCCAGUCCAAGAAGAGCCACACAGUACACAACAAGCCGGGCAGAGAAGGAAAAUCAGAGAGAUGCAUCUAAAGACCUCAGAACAUCCGGCAAGAAUCACUACAGCUCGUAAUCAGGACCCCAGCACAGCAUGGCC